RNAcentral lists this transfer RNA (109 nucleotides) under Rhizoctonia solani. RNAcentral describes it as "tRNA-His". It matches the Rfam family "tRNA". From Rfam's summary of the family: Transfer RNA (tRNA) molecules are approximately 80 nucleotides in length. Their secondary structure includes four short double-helical elements and three loops (D, anti-codon, and T loops). Lineage: Eukaryota; Fungi; Basidiomycota; Agaricomycetes; Cantharellales; Ceratobasidiaceae. The record is from RNAcentral.
GCUCCUAUGGUCUAGUGGUUAUGACGCUUCGUUGUGGAGUAAAUCACGUAUACGCUACGUGAUUUCUUAUGUGACCGAAGCAGCCUGUGUUCGAUUCACGGUGGGGGCA